UGUUUAGGGUUGAUGGUCAACAAGUUAAUUGCAAAUUAAUUUUUUAUGAGUUCAAUUCUCAUCUAAACAU
RNAcentral lists this transfer RNA (70 nucleotides) under Brettanomyces bruxellensis. Its description in RNAcentral is "tRNA-Cys". It matches the Rfam family "tRNA". Rfam says of the family: Transfer RNA (tRNA) molecules are approximately 80 nucleotides in length. Their secondary structure includes four short double-helical elements and three loops (D, anti-codon, and T loops). Lineage: Eukaryota; Fungi; Ascomycota; Pichiomycetes; Pichiales; Pichiaceae. The record is from RNAcentral.